Molecule: ribosomal RNA, 425 nt
Filed under: uncultured bacterium
Lineage: Bacteria
Description: bacterial SSU rRNA
Rfam family: Bacterial small subunit ribosomal RNA
Source: RNAcentral
GGGGAAUUUUGGACAAUGGGGGCAACCCUGAUCCAGCCAUUCCGCGUGAGUGAAGAAGGCCUUCGGGUUGUAAAGCUCUUUCAGCUGGAACGAAACGGUACGGGCUAAUACCCUGUGCUAAUGACGGUACCAGCAGAAGAAGCACCGGCUAACUACGUGCCAGCAGCCGCGGUAAUACGUAGGGUGCGAGCGUUAAUCGGAAUUACUGGGCGUAAAGCGUGCGCAGGCGGAUUGUUAAGCAAGAUGUGAAAUCCCCGGGCUUAACCUGGGAAUGGCAUUUUGAACUGGCAGUCUAGAGUGCGUCAGAGGGGGGUGGAAUUCCACGUGUAGCAGUGAAAUGCGUAGAGAUGUGGAGGAACACCAAUGGCGAAGGCAGCCCCCUGGGAUGACACUGACGCUCAUGUACGAAAGCGUGGGUAGCAAAC